GUCCCAUUACCUGUCACCACUACCGUCAACUUAUUCGAUUUCAAGUAUCGACCAUCCACCUCCGUCUCCUCCAAUCAUAUCACCAUCGUUUAUUACCCUACGACCAAAAAAUCCUUGAACUUUAAACUAUCGUCUUCUCAAACAGAAAAGGAAAAGACGAAGUACGACGAUGGAAUAAGUGGAGCAAGAGAAACCUGGCCUCCCACAAUGACGGCGGAGGGAAGAACAUCCUAGACAGAAGCAAAAACGGAAUCUUCACUGCCGUAGUCGCCGACAACAGUAUCGCAGGUCGGUUGAAAUCUUAGCUACGUAAAGUUUGUAAGCUUUCCGUUUGAAUACGAGUUUUUCAAGUCCACGCUUCCACCAAAGUCAAAUGACCAACGAAGGUUCGAUCGAGGACUUUUCCCGACUUCUUUCAUAACGGAAACUUCAAUCGACAAGCUUCUCAAGUUUCUUUCACAAUGAAUCCUUCAAUUGACAUGUUUGCCUAGUUUCGUCUACAAAUUUCCCUCUUCCAUCCAUGAAUGAUGGCUUACUUAACACAACAGAACUUGCAAGAAUAGAACUAAAGAACACAAUUUAUGUAAGAUUCCAUGUAUCCUGGAUAAGAAACUUCAUCUAAAGCUAUGCUUCAUUAAUUCAAUCACUCGAAAAAAAAGACAACAAUGACUCUAAACACUACAUGUUUAAAAAGUCGGCUUAAAUUUUUUGUGUUAUAUAUAUUUAACAGUAUAAUUUGAUCUGGCUAGUGUCGUGAAUGAAAUUCUUUCUACAAAUCUUCCUAUCAAAUUAAAUAGUGACAUGUACAUCAUUUAAUGAUAUUUUGAUAUAAUAAUAUGACACAUGUCAUCAUUCAAUUGGGUAAAAAGAUUUAUAGGAAGAAGAGUAAAGGGAUAUUUAGUUUCUCCGACCAAUAAAAAAGCAACUCACAUAUUCCACCACUUUUUUCCCUUUUCCUUUGUAACAAUAUAAAAAAAAAACGUAGGACCCGUUUUUCUGAAAGCGUGUGAAGAAGAUGGGCGAAGAAGACGACCAAAACCUAUACAGCUGGACAUUCAUAUUUGUUUGAACAAAUUAUACGGAUGGUCCUUUAACUUUAUAGUUUUUCCCUGAUAUGGUCCCUACGAAACUUUUUUCCCUGAGAUGGUUCCUACGGACUAAACUUUGCACACAAAAGGUCCUUAUGACUAACUUUGUUAAAAGAUUCUGUUAAGUAUAUGUGAAAAGACGAAAAUGCCCUUUGUUUUUGUUUUUUUAUAUUUAUUUUAAUAUGAUGUCAAAUUGAAAUAAAAAAUAGGGUAUUCUCUCUCUCUCUCUCUCUCUCUCUCUCUCUCUCUCUUUUUCUCUCUCUCGUUAAAUUACUCCUUCUCUUUCUACCCCCACCUAUCUUCUCUUCCCGUUUUUAUUCACCACUGGCCAAGGAAGAGACUGCCAGCCACUAGAACUGCCCCUUCCUUCCUCUUUCUGUCGCAAUCCAGCUCCACAAACACUCCCUAUAGCUGUUGUUGUCCCCCUAGAUCUCUGCAGCCUUGCCAAAACGCUUGGUCACCGGAAAAAUGAACCAGAAGAAAGGAGGAUGUUGCCUCCGAUCUGGCCCCCUCCACCUCCUUCUCUAGUUGAGUAGCAUCACCCCAAACACCCUAUGUUUCUGUUUUGCUCGAUCCAUGCCUCCCCUUCUCCUUGCAUUCUAUUGUCUGAAAAAGAAAGAAGAACCGAUGAGGGAGUUGUCGGAGCAACCCCUCGCUAGAACCAUCGUCGAUCUAGCUGCUUCCUUUUCCCCUUCAUUGGUGGUCGUCGGUGACAAGAAAAGAUCCACAAAGGGUCGUCGGAGGUGGGUUGCUCCUCGUCGCGAUCUGCUUGACCACCAUAGCUUCCCGAUCAUCACUUUCCAUUUGUGUUUCUUUUUCUGCUUCUCCGACUAGACAAUAAACGAUGAGCAUUUCCCCAUCGUUUGUGUUGUUGGAUCUCUGGUGGAUCUACAAUUGAUGUCUGAUCUAAAGAGAGAGAGAGAGAGAGAGAGAGAGAGAGAGAGAGAGAGAGAGAGAGAGAGAGAGAGAGAGAGAGAGAGAGAGAGAGAGAGAGAGAGAGAGAGAUCAUUUA
Long non-coding RNA from Lactuca sativa (garden lettuce), 2100 nucleotides. RefSeq lists it as uncharacterized. NCBI's taxonomy places the organism in Eukaryota, Viridiplantae, Streptophyta, Magnoliopsida, Asterales, Asteraceae. The record is from RefSeq and is a predicted model, not a curated record.